This 458-nucleotide ribosomal RNA is filed under the name uncultured bacterium. RNAcentral describes it as "partial 16S ribosomal RNA". It matches the Rfam family "Bacterial small subunit ribosomal RNA", at positions 355 to 823 of the family's 1533-position model. The record is from RNAcentral.
UGGGGAAUAUUGCACAAUGGGCGAAAGCCUGAUGCAGCGACGCCGCGUGAGGGAUGACGGCCUUCGGGUUGUAAAACCUCUUUCAGCAGGGAAGAAGCGAAAGUGACGGUACCUGCAGAAGAAGCGCCGGCUAACUACGUGCCAGCAGCCGCGGUAAUACGUAGGGCGCAAGCGUUGUCCGGAAUUAUUGGGCGUAAAGAGCUCGUAGGCGGUUAGUCGCGUCUGCUGUGAAAAUCUCGAGGCUCAACCUCGGGCUUGCAGUGGGUACGGGCUGACUAGAGUGCGGUAGGGGUGACUGGAAUUCCUGGUGUAGCGGUGGAAUGCGCAGAUAUCAGGAGGAACACCGAUGGCGAAGGCAGGUCACUGGGCCGCAACUGACGCUGAGGAGCGAAAGCAUGGGGAGCGAACAGGAUUAGAUACCCUGGUAGUCCAUGCCGUAAACGUUGGGCACUAGGUGU